CACGGAGUUAGCCGGUGCUUAUUCUAAUGGUACCGUCAGUCUCUUUAGAAAAAGAGGUUUCGUCCCAUUCAAAAGAAGUUUACAAUCCAGAGGACCUUCAUCCUUCACGCGGCAUGGCUGGUUCAGACUUGCGUCCAUUGACCAAUAUUCCUUACUGCUGCCUCCCGUAGGAGUCGGGCCCGUGUCUCAGUGCCCGUGUGACUGGUCGUGCUCUCACACCAGUUACUGAUCGCAGGCUUGGUGGGCCGUUACCCCGCCAACUACCUAAUCAGGCGCACGCCCAUCCAAAACCGCCGGAGCUAUAUUAAUAAAGUGAUGCCACUUCAUUAAGUUACGAUGUAUUAAUCCUCCUUUCGGAGGGCUAUUCAUCAGUUAUGGGUAGGUUGCGUACGUGUUCCGCACCCGUUUGCCGGUCGCCAUCAACUGUAUUGCUACAGUCAUGCUGCCCCUCGACUUGCAUGUAUUAAGCCUGCCGCUAGCGUUCAUCCUGAGCCAGGAUA
RNAcentral lists this ribosomal RNA (500 nucleotides) under uncultured Flavisolibacter sp. Its description in RNAcentral is "partial 16S ribosomal RNA". The record is from RNAcentral. Lineage: Bacteria; Pseudomonadati; Bacteroidota; Chitinophagia; Chitinophagales; Chitinophagaceae.